Molecule: long non-coding RNA, 713 nt
Filed under: Physcomitrium patens
Lineage: Eukaryota; Viridiplantae; Streptophyta; Bryopsida; Funariales; Funariaceae
Description: long non-coding RNA (PPAT_LNC010692)
Source: RNAcentral
UUUGGUUAGAAUUUGGUUAGGAUUUGGUUUAGGAUUUUUUUAGGAUUUAGGAUUUGAUUUAGGAUUUGGUUGGGAUUUGGUUUAGGAUUCAGAGUUUAGUUAGGAUUUGGUUUAGAUUUAGAGUUUGAUUAGGAUUUGAUUUAGAAUUUAGAGUUUAAUUAGGAUUUGAUUUAAGAUUUAGAGUUUGAUUAGAAUUUCAUUUAGAAUUUUGGAUUUUGGAUUUGGUUAGGAUUUGAUUUAGAUUUUGAUUUAGGAUUUAGGAUUUGAUUAGGAUUUGAUUUAAGAUUUCAGGUUUAGUUAGGUUUUGAUUUAGGAUUUAUUUAGGGUUUGGUUAGAGUUUGGUUUAGGAUUUGGUUAGGAUUUGGUUAAGAUUUGAUUUAAGAUUUAGGGUUUGAUUUAGGGUUUAGGAUUUUAUUAGGAUUUAUUUAAGAUUUAAGAUUUAAUUAGUUUUGGCCUAAAGUUUGAAUGAAGUCAAAUAGGAUUUUAACUAGGAUUAAAUUAAGAUUGAAUUGAGAUGUAUUUGAGAUGUAUUUGUAAUCAUUCUAAUAUUUCUUUAAGAUUUCGUAUUGUUUCUUUGAAAUUUCUUUGAGGUUUCUUUGAAUUUGAUUAAAGUUUUCUUAGCAUUAUUAUGGUCUAAUUAGAGUUUAGAUAGUAUUCUAUAAGAAUUAGGAUUUUGUUGUUACAAUUUUCAUUCUACCUUCCACAACCAGGUA